UUUAAAAUGGCAGCUGAUGUCUAUGGGAACCCUGGAUGUUUAGGAGCUGGCUAAAGCUAGAGUUCUCAUACUCUUUGAUUAAGGGCACCACUUUCAGAUAACAACAUAGACCUGAAUGGCAUCAUCCAGUAUCCAAGGAAACCAUUGUUUUCAUAUUCUUUAUGAAAGUUACAAAAAGGAAGAAGAGAGAUAUGGAGGGAGAAAGGAAAGAAAAGAGGAAAGAAAAAUGGCCAUGGGAGGUGGAAUGUCAAUGAUGCUGAAGGUUUGAACCUGGAUGAUCUCAGAAAAGGGCUGCAAGUUUUCUGGCUCUGCCUUGAAGGUAGGAUUUGUUUCCUCCUUGGGAAAAAAUAACUCAUCAGAGAUAUGAAAAAUUCAGCUGAAUUUAUUUAUGGUGUAGAUAAAGAUCUUUUGCAUGCUUUCCAAUGAUGACGUUUUACAAAACUUACAGAGAGAAGAUCCUGGAGUAGCAGGUGUGUGUCGCAGCAGGAGCAGAGGGUAAUGAUGCCGGGAUGCCAUGCUAGGUAACAUGCACAACCGGUUUGUUUGAACAACAAGAACAUGUUAAAUUCAAGCCUUCCUAUGGAUUUGCUCUUUUCUCACUUCUGGUUGAAAUCCUAGAUGAAGAACCCUUUUGACAUCUCUGUCACCGCCAGCUCUGGAGUUUCCGCUUCCUUGUUGGGGUGGGAGGGAGCAGGGCACGGGCAGGUAUGCUAGUGAUCUGUUGUCUUGUUGUGUGUGUACAACUGACCAGUGGGACACUUUUGUGAGCUCCUUAGAGGUUCCCUCAGCAGAACCAUCCAGUCACCUCUCUUCUGCUUAAAUGCUUUAACUGUUCCUCAAUUUGGACAUCAGUUAGGACCCCUCAGCUUCCCUAUGCUAAGGUUACACCAUCCCUAGAAAAAAUCCUUUCAAAAGAACCCCUUAGCCAACUCCCAUCUAAGGGACCCACUUCUGGUCCACAGAAACAUGAAACUCUCUCCUAUUGUUGGGAGUACAGCUCCAAGUACAGCCACAUCUCUUUGCUCUGCCACCAAGCAGACAACUCCAGCUAUAUAAUCUUUUGCCUGACGUUUCUCAAGGGUGAACUAAGCACUUGUCCUCUUUGUCCUCCUAACUUUAAGGAACUAAGAUCAACCUCCCUGAGAGGUACUCUCAAAGCCUCUCUCCUAGGGGAGGGAGAUGGAAAAUUGCUGCAGCCUCCAACAACUUUCUCCAGAGAAAUUCUUUUGUCUCUUUCAGUUUCCUCAGUUUCAGCUCUUUGAGACCCUUGAGUAGAUGUUGAGUCGCCACGUGGUCGUAGUCCACCUCCUUUCAAGUCUUGUAGAGGAGGUCUCGUGCCUCAUUUCGAAAUGUGGGAGAACAUGCCACCUAUUGUUUUGUUCUUAAUUUCAAGGGGCCUCCCCCCAAACUUAGCAAGAGUCCUUCCCUAACACUUUGUUACACAGGCAAGUAUGAGAUGUGUGUAAACCAUGGGCACUAACCAGAAUAAAACUAAUUCACUUAUGGGAAUUUAAAUGCUUAAACAUAGCUCACAAUAAGCAAACAAUAUUGAACAUCAUUUUAAAAAUGUAAAACCACAUAGAAAUCUAUCAAUUAAUUCAUUCAACAAAAAUUGCUUACCAUUUCCUAAGUGCUGACAUUAUCCCAGGUGCUUGAUGUGCAAACAUAUGAUCCUUUUCCUCAUGGAACUAACCAUCUAAUGAGAAAGUCAUAUGCUAGAAUAUGUCCAAAAGUAAUCAGAACACAAUUUAGCAUCACAAUAGAAGGCUCUGCAAAGACCUAAGGGAGCACAGAAGACCGAGUAUCUGAAUUUAAGAAAGGCUUCACAAGGGACAUUUGAGCUGGGUCUUGAGUGAAGACAGGGCUUCCCCAGGGAGAAAGGAGGAAAGUGCAUUUCAGAUGCACAAUGGUUGUGUGAAGGAAGAGACGGAGAGUUUGGAUGGUGUGGCGUGGGAACAAUGAAGAAGGGGUGCAGCUGGUACAUAGGCUGGUGUGAUUGUGGGAUAUGAAUUUGGGGAUUUGGAAAGACUGUUUUAUGCCAAAGAGUUUCAACUUCUUCCUACUUGUACUGGGACAGUAUAAUUAUUGUUUUGCUUUUCAAAUGCUUGUUUAAAAAUCUUACACACAUGUUAUGUAUCAAUAUAUAUAAAAGUGAUCAUAUACAUAUUGCUUUUUCCUUUUCCUUUUUUAAUUGGGUCCUCCUUCCCACUCUUCUCUCUCUUCUCUGUCUUCUCCCCAUUCCCUAGCCACAUUUUUUCCUCUCCAAUUCUUAACACUUAUUUUGUAUCCUUUAUUUAUUUUCUCCUUGGUUACAUAAUCAUAUUCAAG
Long non-coding RNA from Equus asinus (donkey), 2328 nucleotides. Lineage: Eukaryota; Metazoa; Chordata; Mammalia; Perissodactyla; Equidae. The record is from Ensembl.